This 549-nucleotide ribosomal RNA is filed under the name Triticum aestivum (bread wheat). RNAcentral describes it as "partial small subunit ribosomal RNA". Lineage: Eukaryota; Viridiplantae; Streptophyta; Magnoliopsida; Poales; Poaceae. The record is from RNAcentral.
AUUCUCAGGGCGGAGGAGGAAUACUGGCGCCGUAGGGGUGGUGUCAAGUGGGUAGUGAAAGGUGAUGCAAACACAGGAUACUUUCACGCUUACGCUAAUGGUCGCAAACGGAAGAGCACUAUCCUUAGGCUCCAAUCAGAACGUGGGACGCUGAUAUCUCAGAACGAUAUAGCGAAGUACAUCUAUAGCUUCUUCAUUGAGCUGUUGGGAACAGCUGAGGUGAAAAACCUAAGUCUUAGGGCAGACUUUUGGGGCAUGCACGAACGAGUCUCACAGCAGGAAAACGACGCCCUUAUGGUGUCCUUUUCGGCCCAGGAGAUUGAUUGCGCGCUUGCGGGUAUGAAGAACGACACGGCCCCAGGGCCUGAUGGCUGGCCGGUGGAGUUUUUCAAGCGCUUCUGGCCGCUGCUUAGGGACUUAUUCCAAGCGAUCAUAAACGGCUUCGCCCUAGGUACGGUUGACCUGUCUCGUCUGAAUUACGGGGCCAUCUGCCUAAUCCCCAAGGUCAAAGGGGCAGAAGCUAUUACACAGUUUCGGCCGAUUACGCUC